GAUGAACGCUGGCGGCGUGCCUAAUACAUGCAAGUCGAGCGAACAGAUGAGGAGCUUGCUCCUCUGACGUUAGCGGCGGACGGGUGAGUAACACGUGGAUAACCUACCUAUAAGACUGGGAUAACUUCGGGAAACCGGAGCUAAUACCGGAUAAUAUAUUGAACCGCAUGGUUCAAUAGUGAAAGACGGUUUUGCUGUCACUUAUAGAUGGAUCCGCGCCGCAUUAGCUAGUUGGUAAGGUAACGGCUUACCAAGGCAACGAUGCGUAGCCGACCUGAGAGGGUGAUCGGCCACACUGGAACUGAGACACGGUCCAGACUCCUACGGGAGGCAGCAGUAGGGAAUCUUCCGCAAUGGGCGAAAGCCUGACGGAGCAACGCCGCGUGAGUGAUGAAGGUCUUCGGAUCGUAAAACUCUGUUAUUAGGGAAGAACAAAUGUGUAAGUAACUAUGCACGUCUUGACGGUACCUAAUCAGAAAGCCACAGCUAACUACGUG
Molecule: ribosomal RNA, 497 nt
Filed under: uncultured bacterium
Lineage: Bacteria
Description: partial 16S ribosomal RNA
Rfam family: Bacterial small subunit ribosomal RNA
Source: RNAcentral